Homo sapiens (human) is the source of this 631-nucleotide long non-coding RNA. NCBI's taxonomy places the organism in Eukaryota, Metazoa, Chordata, Mammalia, Primates, Hominidae. The record is from Ensembl.
AGAUAAAAAAGAAACACAGAGAUUGAGAGAGAUGGAAAGAGACAGAGACAGAAAUAAGGAGGCGGAGACAGAGAGACACAGAAGAAACACAGAGACAGAGACAGGGAGAAAGACAGACACAGACAGAAAAACAGAGAUAAAAGAAAAACACAGAGAGAGAAAUAGAGAAAGAGAUAGAGGCAGAAAGAUAAAGAGAGAUAAAAAAGAGAUAGAGAGGCAGAGAUGGACACAGACAGAGAAACAGAGACAAAGACAGAAACAGAGACAGAGAGAAGGACAGAUGACAAAGAGAGAUGGAAAAAAGAGACAGACACAAAGACCGAAAUAGACACAGAGACAGAGACACAGAGAAAAACAGAAAGACAGAGACAGAGACAAAGAGACACAGAGAACAGAGACAGAGAAAGGCAGAAACAGCAAGGCAGAGACUGAAAGACAGAGAUGGAGAGACAGAAAGAAAUGGAGAGAGAGAGGUUUUUCUGCCUUCCGCCAACAGAGAGAAGUGGACAGGCUGCAGCUUUAGAAGGGAGGCCCAAGCAGGGAUGGGUGUGUGACCUACUUCCCAACACUGAACUGCAGAAGAAAAUCUGCUAGGAAGCUUCUGGAAGAGCUUAUCCCCAAGAAUAAAGAG